AAUGAACGCUGGCGGCGUGCCUAACACAUGCAAGUCGUACGAGAAAGGGGCUUCGGCCCUGAGUAGAGUGGCGCACGGGUGAGUAACGCGUGGGUAAUCUGCCCUUGGAUUUGGAAUAACUCCGCGAAAGUGGAGCUAAUACCGGAUAGUCUGGCUUUUUAACGAAGUCGGUAAAGGAUGCCUCUGCAUAUGCAUUCGUCCGAGGAUGAGCCCGCGUCUCAUUAGCUAGUUGGUAGGGUAAUGGCCUACCAAGGCAACGAUGAGUAGCUGGUCCGAGAGGAGGAUCAGCCACACUGGAACUGAAACACGGUCCAGACUCCUACGGGAGGCAGCAGUGGGGAAUAUUGCGCAAUGGGCGAAAGCCUGACGCAGCAACGCCGUGUGAGGGAUGAAGGCUUUCGGGUCGUAAACCUCUGUCAGAAGGGAAGAACGGGCAUUGGUCUAAUAGGCCUUUGUUUUGACGGUACCUUCAGAGGAAGCACCGGCUAACUCUGUGCCAGCAGCCGCCGUAA
This 512-nucleotide ribosomal RNA is filed under the name uncultured bacterium. RNAcentral describes it as "partial 16S ribosomal RNA". It matches the Rfam family "Bacterial small subunit ribosomal RNA", at positions 29 to 523 of the family's 1533-position model. The record is from RNAcentral.